Crotalus tigris (Tiger rattlesnake) is the source of this 2784-nucleotide long non-coding RNA. RefSeq lists it as uncharacterized. The record is from RefSeq and is a predicted model, not a curated record. The transcript is spliced from 2 exons. NCBI's taxonomy places the organism in Eukaryota, Metazoa, Chordata, Lepidosauria, Squamata, Viperidae.
AGGAGCAGCGAAGCCGUGAGGAAGCGUUUCCUGCCCGGAGCGAAGCGAGGCUGGAUUGAACCGAAGGGGAGCGGAGCUCGCACCUUUUCUGCCGCGUUUUUCGGGAAGGGCUGCUAGCAAUGCCUUUCGCUUUGCCAACGAAAAGGAUCGGGGCGAGUUGCCUCUGAAUCCGAGUCAGCGACUGCCAACAUCCAGCCAAGCAGAAAACAGAAGCAAAAGAUAGAAGAACAAUAAAAGCAAAAGGCAGAAGCGGAAGACGGAAGCAGAAGAUGAGAGAUAGAAGCAGAAGCAGGAAAAGAAGUAUAAAUAUAGAAGCAAAAGAGGAUAGAAACAAAAGAGAAAGAAGCAGAAGAUAGAAGCAAAAGGAGAAGCAGGAAGAAAGAAGCAGAAGACAGAUAUGGAGAAGCAAGAGGAAUGCAUUACUAUUUAUCAUGGGAAAUAAAGAUGCUACCUACCUCCUCUUUCCGUUGGUGAUUCGGACCAAGUUUUUUUUUCAUAUGUGGGCUUGGAUUUAAAAAGGGAACUUGUGCUGCUAACCCAUUCCUUUCCUACCUGUGGUAAAGCUGCUUUCCUACUGGACAAUGGCAAGACUUUCUUUCCAACACUUUGCCUUUGGCAACGGUACAAUGUAAUGUGGGAAAACGAGGCUCUGGGUUGCAUGAACUUGCAUGAGUCCCUUUCUGGAAUCAAAGUGUUAAACCACUUUUUACCCCUUUACACCUUAUUCUAUACUGUCUCUGUGCCUCAGCCUAAGAGAGUGACCUUGAGCAAUAAAAUCGAUCCUUCUCCAGGAUACAGCUUACCAAGUUCUCCUACCUUUAAACUUUCUUUGCUCGGGAAAGAAAACGGUUCAAAAUGGUUACCUUGGAUUUUGGCUUCUAACCCAAAGGAUCCUUGGUGCUAGCUGGAGUCCUUUCAACAGACGGCCUCUGUAGUACUUUGACCGCUUCCUCCAAAUAACUCAUGGUUUUAUAUAAUAACAAUUAUCUUAUGCAUUCUGCAGAAUGGAUCAGAAAUUACUUUUAAUGGCUGUGUUGACUUUUAAGAAUUGUAUUUAUUCUGAAGCCAUACUUUAAGAUAAAGCCCUCUCCCGUUUGUAUAUGUAUUUUGAAUGAGAUUGAUAGCACUCUAGAAAGGUACGUUUUCUUGUUUGAAAGGUUUUUCAGAGUUACUUUUGCAGUGUAUGUAAAAAUGUAACAUUGUUUACAAUGAGGAAAUGGUGUCUAAGUGAGAGGGAUGAAGAAGGCUGAAGCAGGGAAAUCCUGAUGACCUGGAACCGAGGACCGCCCUACCUCUGUCCUGCUAUGUACUCUUGACUGCCCCUUAUCUCUCCCCUAUGGAGGCUUUGGCCAAAGUUCUUGAGAAACUUAAAGAGAAGGUGGAAAACCUGACUUCCUUGAUACCUGUGGCGACUUGAGCUUCAAAAUGCCACGAGGGACUCGGUUUUAAACACUGCAGGCUUUGAUCUUAUGGAAGAGCAUGGCUCUUCCUUAGACCAAUUACUCCAAGGGGAAGAAGGUAAGUUAGAGAAGCGAUCAAGUUGGUCGACCUGGGAAAUGUAUAGCCUUGCCUGAAAAGAUGCAGAGUGGUUGGAGUUAGCUUUCUUUGAAGUCACUCUGCUUUCCCUGCUGGGUCUGCAAAAGAGAGGGUGAGGGUCCCAUAAUCGGCAAGGGGAAGACAAUCUAAUCUUAAGUGCCUAAAGCUCCAUGAGCUUUCACGAGUGGAAAUCCUGUGGUGGUAAAAUCCUAUCUGCUCACAUGAUGCCUCGAUUUACAAACUCUGAUCGCUUACUGCAUAAAUUCUGAUCUCUGCUGGAGUUGUAACUCGACUACCUGUGCAAUCUGUUUUUUUUUAAAAAUCCAAUGGGACCAAUUUCUAAUCCCAAAAAAUCCAAUGGGACCAAUCAAAUAGCAAUGGAGCUUAACUUUGAAUAUGUUCACUGAUUUUAAUUUCCUCUUAUAUUUUGUGUCCAUGAUUUAUUGUGACUGACUGCCUUCUGGCCAAAAUUAAAGGUCCUGGUGUCCUUCGGAACCUUGAAUGGCUUGGGGAUUAUCCCACGAGUGCCCUCCCAAGCUAUGAAGUGGUCCGGCAAGAUCUGCCCUUUCUGGGUUUUCUGGCAGGGAGGAGGGCUUUCUCUGGAGGGUGCAAGGUUAACUUUAGAGCAGUGUUUCUCAACCUUGACAAUUUUAAGGCAUGUGGACUUCAACUCCCAGAAUUCCACAGCCAGCAAAGCAAAGCUUUGUGUGUGAUGAGUUGAAGUCCACAUGCCUUAAAAUUGUCAAGGUUGAGAAACACUGCUUUAGAGAGAUGCUCUUCUUCCCCUGUCCAGUGGUUUUUAACUGGACUCUAAAAUUUUGGCCUGUGCCAAGCUUUUCGUUUCCAAUUUAUUCCCAAGUUUGACACCGAUAUUGAUUGUAGCCGGACCUUAGCUUAAAUUUUCAAUCCUUUUUAUACAGAUUUAAGCUGCCUCAAAGAUGGAAUAAACAGAAAUUAAGGUUACUUUGAUGGGCACUAACUUUUGAUUAUGUAUGUUUGGUGAGGUUUAUCUUUAAAUUUAUUGCGAUGGUUAAUAUAUUAAAGUGAGUAAGUAGGGUUAGAUUUUACUUUUGCUGCUAGUUUUGAAAUUGACAGGAUUAUUAAAAUGUUUUAUGUCUACCUAAAUCAGCCAUUUCUUCCAUCUUCAAGGCACUCUUACAAAAGUAAAAUCAAAAAUAUAAAAUGUACGUUAGGACAUCAGUAUGCUUAAUGUCAAAAGUAAAUGUUGGAAUAAAUUGACAAACUGUU